Molecule: ribosomal RNA, 440 nt
Filed under: uncultured bacterium
Lineage: Bacteria
Description: partial 16S ribosomal RNA
Rfam family: Bacterial small subunit ribosomal RNA
Source: RNAcentral
CCUACGGGAGGCAGCAGUGGGGAAUAUUGCACAAUGGGGGAAACCCUGAUGCAGCGACGCCGCGUGUGGGAAGACGGUCCUCUGGAUUGUAAACCACUGUCCCCAGGGACGAAGAUGACGGUACCUGGGGAGGAAGCUCCGGCUAAGUCCGUGCAAGCAGCCGCGGUAAUACGUAGGGAGCGAGCGUUGUCCGGAAUUACUGGGGGGAAAGGGAGCGUAGGCGGGGAUGCAAGUUGGGUGUAAAAACUACCGGCUCAACUGGUAGUCGCACUCAAAACUGCAGCUCUUGAGUGAAGUAGAGGCAGGCGGAAUUCCUGGUGUAGCGGUGAAAUGCGUAGAUAUUAGGAGGAACACCAGUGGCGAAGGCGGCCUGCUGGGCUUUUACUGACGCUGAGGCUCGAAAGUGUGGGGAGCAAACAGGAUUAGAUACCCGAGUAGUC